Molecule: ribosomal RNA, 360 nt
Filed under: Candidatus Nitrosopumilus sp.
Lineage: Archaea; Thermoproteati; Nitrososphaerota; Nitrososphaeria; Nitrosopumilales; Nitrosopumilaceae
Description: Nitrosopumilus sp. partial 23S ribosomal RNA
Rfam family: Archaeal large subunit ribosomal RNA
Source: RNAcentral
CCAAGGGUGAGGCUGCUCGCCUAUUAAAAGGGAACAUGAGCUGGGUUUAGACCGUCGUGAGACAGGUCGGUCUCUGCCUGAUGGAAGCGCGAAUAACUGAGGGGAAGUUGCUCCUAGUACGAGAGGAACAGAGCAGCGUCGCCACUGGUUUACCGGUUGUCUGAUAAGGCAGGCCGGGCAGCUAAGCGAUUUAGGCUAAGUGCUGAAAGCAUCUAAGCACGAAUCCUAUCCCGAGACAAGUUAUUCUUUCGUAAGAUGAAGGUCGGCAGCAGAAGACUGCGUUGAUAGGAAGGUGGUGUAGAUCACAAGCUUCGGCGAGUGGUGAGCCAGCCUUUACUAAUAGACCAACACAUCGGUUCA